Toxorhynchites rutilus septentrionalis is the source of this 353-nucleotide long non-coding RNA. RefSeq lists it as uncharacterized. NCBI's taxonomy places the organism in Eukaryota, Metazoa, Arthropoda, Insecta, Diptera, Culicidae. The record is from RefSeq and is a predicted model, not a curated record. The transcript has 2 exons.
CAGCUUGUGUGCGUGAAGCGAAUGUCAACAAAGAAUUGCAAAAAAAAAUGUGAUUUUUAAACGCACCGUUUUCAACGUUUUUUGCAGAAAUUUUCGUAAUGGAGCCAUCAGUCGGAGAAAAUGAAACCUGCUACGUGGAUGUGGAGUUUGCGGAUGUGUUCGAUUACGCUGCGGGUGGAAGCCGUUUAGUCGUCGAAGGCGAAAGAGUAUUCAAAGCUGGACAUAUUUUAAUAGUUGGUGUUGAAGAAGUUCACGAUGAAGGCUUCAGUAUUUUCUCGUCCUGCCUCCAGUCAUCAUCUCCAAGCUCGGAACCCCACACAAUAAAAAUUCGUACGAAAAUCUCUUUCUCCAAA